CUUGGCUUAAACUGUGUCGCACUAAGAAAUUCAACUUGUGUCGCACUAAGAAAUUCAGUUAUGAUGACAUUGCAUAAAAUGCUUAAACUGUGUCGCACUAAGAAAUUCAACAUUGCCUGGAAUAUUCCAUAGCAUGUCUGGCCAAUAUCCAAAAAGGCCUACUACUGAACAGAGGGAAUUGGUGCCAACAAAUGUAUGGAGAGAUAAGAGUAGGGACAUAGAUAGAUAAGAUACCGCAUGUAUCUGGCAUGAGCCUUGGGUGGUCACGACUGGCCUGAUCAACCAUACUGAUGACCUAAUGCGCAUGACAAGAUACAUGCUGGGCUGCACUGAUAAGAAAUCUUGGAAAAGUUACAAACUUGCUAAAAGGUAUAAAAGACGGAGAAACUUGGCACUCAGGGGGAGAACUACCCACCUGUAAUGCGGACGCGUGUUGCUGGUCUCUGCUGUUCCCAGAGAGGGUCCCUCCAAGCUGACUGCCAGAGUUCCCCCAGUCACGUGCAGUGAGGACACAACCAAGCCCCUCUAAUGGUGAUGUAUACUUAAGCUGACAUAUCUAGAUACUAAGCUGUUUUGAAGUGAAUGCAUGCAACUACUUAAUGAGAGUUAAGCUUACUCUGCAUUGGGUCCCCUUGUGGACAAUAAAGUGUGGUGUGAAUUCUUAUCUGCAACUUGGUCUCUGUGUGGUUUCUUUUUCCUAUAGCCCAAGACACUCAUCUCGAACUGGGUUGUGUGCCCGCCAAUAUCGUUAUAAACCUUAUUAGGUAAUUGAUUAUUGCUUUUUGGAUAUUGGUGCUUCAUGAAUUUAAUGAUUAG
This is a non-coding RNA of Pelobates cultripes (western spadefoot toad), 816 nucleotides long. NCBI's taxonomy places the organism in Eukaryota, Metazoa, Chordata, Amphibia, Anura, Pelobatidae. The record is from the annotation of a GenBank genome assembly.